CCCAAAUAACAGCACCAGCAGUGGACGUGGCAGAUAUUUUAGAGCACGUAGGGUAUACUGAGAAAUUAUUUUGCAAUUAGCAGCAGCAUGUAGCAAUGGUCCUGACUGCACUAAUCAUCUAAUCACUAAUCAUCACCCAAUCACUCUGCCCAAUGCUCCAGUGACUCCAUUUAAGAGGGCUCCCAGUUCCUCUUCCAUUUGUGUUGUGGGCAAUGUUGUAUUCAGGAGGACAAGGCCACUCCAGCACAGCUGCCUUCCUGAGACCAACCUAUUCCCCUGCCACCUCAGGCAGCAGCCCUACUGUGGUGCUUUUGGACAGAGGAGGUGCCAGGGGACUAUCGGUUGUUUCAUCCCUCCUUCCCAUGGCUGACCUGGAGAGACUUUGCUCCCCCAGCUCUGAAAAGGAGAGUGGGAUGUCUGCAGAGCAUGGCCUGGGCAGAGCUGGUAUUGGAGAUGUUGUGGUAGAGCGGGCACAGAAUAACUCUGACAGACUCCUCAUAGCUCCUGUCCAAACAGCAUUGCUCCUCAAAGUGUGCUUGGCUGCUAGCUUUCUCUCAAUCAAGAUGUAACUAUGCACAAAGCUCUGCUGUAUCACCAGAGUGUAAUUAACCAUCGUCCAGAAUGAUGAUUGCACGUUGCUUAAACUACAUACUCCCCUAGCUGAAAACAAAGCCAGGAAGUAGGAUAUCUAUGACCUACAAAAAUAAGGACCAAAAAAUUUACCUCCAACGCAAGUGUGACUUCUAAGUCUAGUGUGAAUCCUCUACUGAUUUGAUGUGGAAAGGGACAAGAUAGUAGAUACUGAUCACAAUGCAAAUAUCAGAGGUAGAUGAAACAGUGAGAGUAGCUUUAAAUCAUUAAAAAAAAAAAAAAAACCAUACACUAG
Molecule: long non-coding RNA, 886 nt
Organism: Cygnus olor (mute swan)
Lineage: Eukaryota; Metazoa; Chordata; Aves; Anseriformes; Anatidae
Exons: 2
Source: RefSeq, a predicted model, not a curated record